CUACGUGCCAGCAGCCGCGGUAAUACGGAAGGUCCAGGCGUUAUCCGGAUUUAUUGGGUUUAAAGGGAGCGUAGGCUGGAGAUUAAGUGUGUUGUGAAAUGUAGACGCUCAACGUCUGAAUUGCAGCGCAUACUGGUUUCCUUGAGUACGCACAACGUUGGCGGAAUUCGUCGUGUAGCGGUGAAAUGCUUAGAUAUGACGAAGAACUCCGAUUGCGAAGGCAGCUGACGGGAGCGCAACUGACGCUUAAGCUCGAAGGUGCGGGUAUCAAACAGGAUUAGAUACCCUGGUAGUCCGCACAGUAAACGAUGGAUGCCCGCUGUUGGUACCUGGUAUCAGCGGCUAAGCGAAAGCAUUAAGCAUCCCACCUGGGGAGUACGCCGGCAACGGUGAAACUCAAAGGAAUUGACGGGGGCCCGCACAGGCGGUGGAUUAUGUGGUUUAAUUCGAUGAUACGCGAGGAACCUUACCAAGACUUAAAUGGGAAUUGACAGCUAUAGAGAUA
This 505-nucleotide ribosomal RNA is filed under the name uncultured bacterium. RNAcentral describes it as "bacterial SSU rRNA". It matches the Rfam family "Bacterial small subunit ribosomal RNA", at positions 501 to 1008 of the family's 1533-position model. The record is from RNAcentral.